UACGUAGGUGGCAAGCGUUGUCCGGAUUUAUUGGGGUUAAAGGGUGCGUAGGCGGCCCUGUAAGUCAGUGGUGAAAUACUCUAGCUUAACUAGAGGGGUGCCAUUGAUACUGCAGGGCUUGAGUACAGACGAGGUAGGCGGAAUUGACGGUGUAGCGGUGAAAUGCAUAGAUAUCGUCAAGAACUCCGAUAGUGAAGACAGCUUACUAGGCUGUAACUGACGCUGAGGCACGAAAGUGUGGGGAUCAAACAGG
RNAcentral lists this ribosomal RNA (253 nucleotides) under uncultured bacterium. RNAcentral's name for it is "partial 16S ribosomal RNA". It matches the Rfam family "Bacterial small subunit ribosomal RNA", at positions 524 to 776 of the family's 1533-position model. The record is from RNAcentral.